Molecule: ribosomal RNA, 1235 nt
Filed under: metagenome
Description: bacterial LSU rRNA
Rfam family: Bacterial large subunit ribosomal RNA
Source: RNAcentral
UGAAUACGAGACGCUAAGGCGUCGAAGUAGUGUAUGUCAUACUUCCAAGAAAAGCUUGCACUGUCAUAGAUAAAAAACGCCUGUACCAUAACCGACACAGGUGGGUAGGUAGAGUAUACUAAGGGGCGCGAGAUAACUCUCUCUAAGGAACUCGGCAAAAUAACUCCGUAACUUCGGGAGAAGGAGUGCCUUAUUCGUAAGGUUGCAAUAACAAGAUCCAAGCAACUGUUUAUCAAAAACACAGGUCUCCGCUAAGUCGUAAGACGAUGUAUGGGGGCUGACGCCUGCCCAGUGCCAGAAGGUUAAAGAAGUUGGUUAGCAAUUGCGAAGCUGAUAACUGAAGCCCUGGUGAACGGCGGCCGUAACAAUAACGGUCCUAAGGUAGCGAAAUUCCUUGACGGGUAAGUUCCGACCCGCACGAAAGGCGUAAUGAUUUGGAUACUGUCUCGGAGAGGGGCUCGGUGAAAUAGACUUGUCUGUGAAGAUGCGGACUACCUGCACCAGGACAGAAAGACCCUAUGAAGCUUUACUGUAACUUGAAAUUGAAAUUGGACUUUAUUCGCGCAGUAUAGGUGGGAGGCGUUGAUUAUAAUCUUGUGGGAUUAUUGGAGUCAUCAGUGAGAUACCACUCUUGUAAUGUUAGAUUUCUAACUUUGAAUCAUUAUCUGGUCAAAGAACAGUUUCAGGCGGGCAGUUUGACUGGGGCGGUCGCCUCCUAAACGGUAACGGAGGCGUACAAAGGUUUCCUCUGAACGGUUAGAAAUCGUAUCUAGAGUGUAAAGGCAUAAGGAAGCUUGACUGUGAGACCUACAAGUCGAGCAGGGACGAAAGUCGGUCUUAGUGAUCUGACGGUACUGAGUGGAAAGGCCGUCACUCAACGGAUAAAAGUUACUCUAAGGAUAACAGGCUGAUCUCCCCCAAGAGUUCACAUCGACGGGGAGGUUUGGCACCUUGAUGUCGGCUCAUCGCAUCCUGGGGCGGUAGUACGUCCCAAGGGUUGGGCUGUUCGCCCAUGAAAGCGGUACGCGAGCUGGGUUCAGAACGUCGUGAGACAGUUCGGUCCAUAUCCGGUGUAGGCGUUAGAAUAUUGAGAGGAGCCUUCUUUAGUACGAGAGGACCGAGAAGGACAUACCUCUGGUGUACCAGUUAUCGUGCCAACGGUAAACGCUGGGUAGCUAUGUAUGGAGUGGAUAACCGCUGAAAGCAUCUAAGUGGGAAGCCCACCUCAAGAUAAG